GGGGAUGUGGUCUAAUGGUAUGACGUCUGCUUUGCAUGCUGAAGGUCCUGGGUUCGAUUCCCAGCAUCUCCA
This is a non-coding RNA of Octopus sinensis (East Asian common octopus), 72 nucleotides long. The record is from the annotation of a RefSeq genome assembly. NCBI's taxonomy places the organism in Eukaryota, Metazoa, Mollusca, Cephalopoda, Octopoda, Octopodidae.